This is a long non-coding RNA of Peromyscus eremicus (cactus mouse), 5812 nucleotides long. RefSeq lists it as uncharacterized. The record is from RefSeq and is a predicted model, not a curated record. The transcript is spliced from 4 exons. NCBI's taxonomy places the organism in Eukaryota, Metazoa, Chordata, Mammalia, Rodentia, Cricetidae.
UAUCUAUAUGUCACUCCAUCUACAGUCUUCUGCCACCAGCCUUCUGGGUUUUCCCCAUGACCUACAUAACAGCUUUAACUCCUGCCAUUGUCACAAUCUCAGUAUCAUUUCUAAUUUCAUGGAAACCACCGCAGGAGAGAGAAAGAAAAUCAUAAAGAACAAAUAGAGUAGGAGGAUUACAAGAACCAGUAACAGUUGGAUGGGUGAGAACAUGACAUGCAUACACCAUAAAGUCUGCCCUCGGGACACAAGGGUUGUUUUCUCACUGGCCCACAGAAGGCAGGCUUAGUAGAUUAUCCGGUGGGGCAGGCCCGGAGGGAUUGAUGUCCUCAUUCUCGGGUACCUCCGGCACAGAUUCCACUGGCAACGCGUCAGGCUUUUCAUAUGCCAUCUCCGGCACAGCAAAGCACUGGAGCAGUUAAGGUGGAGAAACACUGAGGUGAGGGAGAAGGAUGAGAGUCAUUCACUGGGGUGGGGGCUUCACUUACUUGUGUUAUGAGAGAGUGGGAUUGACAGUGCCAGGGAAUUGUAACAAGUUGUUUUCUCUUGGCAGAUAAAAGAAGAAUAUCAUGUUACUCACAUUAUAAUCCCUGUUCAGAAUGGAGGACCUGAUUACUGUUGUAUGAAAAACGAGGAGGAACUCCUUUUUGUUCAAGAAGAGCUGGGGCUUCUCACCUUAGGUUGGAUUCAUAACCAUCCAACCCAGACAGCCUUCUUGUUAAGUGUGGAUUUACACACACAUUUUUGCUACCAGAAGAUGCUGCCAGAAUCAAUUGCAGUGGUGUGUUCCCCUAAAUGUAAAGAUCUCCAACUGGUGGCACUGUUUGUGGAAACUUUCGAACUUUUGGAACAUGAGAUCUUCACCUGGACCUCAAGGUUAUGGGGCAGAACACUCUGAUUCUGUACCUGCUUCCUGACCCUCCAACAGGAUUCCUCAUCGUGUUCUCCACAGACCAUCAUUUUUACUUCAAUCAAUGAAAGUCAUUUUUGAAAUGGGAAAAUCUCCCCUCUUCUUCCAUGUCCUUCCUCCGAGAAGCUGUUACCAGAUCUGUUCCUGUCAGCACCUAGGAUCUGACCACCCUGAUGAGCCAGCCUCAGCCACCCUUCUUCAAUAAGACAAGAAGAGGCAAAGUGAAACACCGAAAAAUGAAAUUAAUCCACUGGAGCCUCAUUGGGAAAAAAACAGAGAGGUCCAGAGACAGUCCCUCAGUUUCCAUUAGAGGGUUGAGGGAAAUUCCAGUUUCUUGGUUAUAUUAUUUCAAUAGGCAGACAGCCAAACGUGGAAAGAGAUUACUAGGACAGGUACUUUCACAGACUAAACCCCAAUACAAUCACCUUUGAAUUCCUUAUGAGUCACUUUUAUCUUUGAGAGAGUGACAUCAGGAUUGCACCUGCCAGGAGGAUGACUAUUUUGAAACUGACUGUAGAUUCAUGGCUUUAGGAUCUUACACUAAUGUUCUUUGGGAAAAUUUAAUGCAUACAACUUAUUGAACAAUUCAGAGUUUAAUGUUUGAAAUUAGCAAUAAGUUACAUAACUCUUCUUUGUAUGCAAAUUAGGAAAAGUAGUUAUUUAUCAAUUCUCAUUUUAAAGUUAAUUAUAAAUAUAUACUGUGUUAACUUUCUGCAAAUAUAAAUUUCUUCAAUUUUAAACUUUAUGUACAUGUAUAAUCUAGUUAAGUUACAUACUAUAUUCACACAUGCCAUCUUUGAAAGCAGCUAGCAGUAAAUUCUUAAAAUGUUUUAUCACCAGUUGCCUCCCAGACUCAAAUUAACAAAACACAGCAUCACUAUAAUACAAGGAAAUACAAACUUUCAUUUUUAUUCUUCCUUGAUUUGAUAUACAUUAUGUACAUAAAAAGGCAUUUGAAUCAAGAUAGAGCAGAAAUAAAAAUCUCUCCUACCAUACUUUGCAUACACAUUGGCACCAAGUAAUAUUUAAAUUAUAGUGCAUGAAAUAAGUAAAUUUUGUGUUAAGUAGUAUCUAUUUCUCCUUUUUCUGAAGACAGUGCUAAGCAGUAAAUAGCACCACAAACUUCACUCAAGGAACUGUUGUAAAGAUUGGAAUUCUCCUCUGAGGAUUUGCAGUAGUGAAGUAUAAAUGUAUCUCAAUGAAAUUCAGCAUAAAAGAUUAUUCAUUUUAAUCAAAUAUAAAGCUUGUCUCCAUAUACCCCAAUUAGCAUCCACAUGUCUUGUGUGAGAAUAGAAAUCAUCUUCUAGAAUAAAUGCUGGAACUUGAAAACUAGGACCAAGAUACAUGAAAAAAUGAUAGAGUAAAACUUACAACUGAAAGAAACAAUAUUGAACUGUUUGGAAAACAAUAAAAAAUUGAUAUUGUCAAUUUUUUGGUGAGAUUGGCCUCUCAACCUGCCACCAUCCACAGAAUCUCAGUUGUAUAAUCUAAUCAAACUCUCUGUGUUGGUAUCACACAAAAAUAUCCUGUGGUAUUGCAUUCCCCCAAAUAUUGUGCAUGCUAAUAAACUUAUCUGGGGUCAGAGACAGAACAGCCACAAUAUUAAACAUAGAGGAUAGGCAGUGGUAGCACAUGCCUUUAAUCCUAGCACUCCAGAGGUAGAAAUCCCUCUGGAUCUCUGUGAGUUCAAGGCCACAUUGGAAACAGCCAGGCAUGGUGACACACGCCAUUAAUCCCAGAAAGCGAGCCUUUAAUCCCAGGGAGUGGUGGUAGAAAGCAGAAAGGUAUAUAAGGCGUGAGGACCAGAAACUAGAAGCUUUUGCCUGGUUGAGCUUUCAGGCUUCUAACAGCACAGUUCAGCUGAGAGCCAUUCAGAUAUGAGGACACAGAGGCUUCCAGUCUGAGGAAACAAGAUCAGCUGAGAAGUUGGCCAGUUGAGGUUAGCUGUGGCUUGUUCUGUCUCUCUGAUCUACCAGCAUUCACCCCAAUAACUGGCCUCAGGUUUGAUUUUAUUAAUAAGAAUUUUUAAGAUUCCUGCUACAAUAUCCAUUUCCAUUUUUUAUAUAUCUUGUAUAAUGUCAAUAUAAUUUUUUUAAAGUUUUCUUUUUACUGAGGAAAGUAUAACUAUGUUUAAUAAGAGCAAUUUCCUUUACAAUAUUAUUCUCUCCAUUUCUUUCAAUGACACUAGAAGCAUAUUUCUGAUACUGAAAAUGAUUAUUUUUGGUUCACUUUGAUUUAGAAGAGCUUCUCAUUCUUUCUGACUUAUUCUCUUCAAUUCUCAAAAAAAUGCUUGCACACUCAGAUUAUAUACACAAGUGAUUACCACUUAAUCAUGAAUGCUACAUAGGAAAUUAGAUAUGAGGUGAUUACUGUGGAAGCAUUAUAGAGAUUUUCUGUUUAGUCUUGUAUGGUACAACAUGCCAAACACAAAAUAUAUAUUUAUAUGACUUUAUGAUAUAUAUCCUGUCACAAAUUGCUUCUAGAUAUACAGGAAAUGAAAUAAUAUAAAAUUAAACCAAAUACAAGUGAAAAUUUGAUCUAUAAACAGGAUCCAUAAGGCUGGUGCUCAUAUGACCCUCACAUAACCCUAUAAUUGUUACAGUAAACAUCAUAACUAAAGAAAGACUAUAAGCUAAUAAUGUAAUAAUUCAUACAAAGCACAUGAGUAACUGUUUGCACUAGGAAACCCAGGAUGUUAAAUAUUCAGAGUUAUCCUCUCAAUAGAGGAGAUAUCUAUUUUCCAUGCAGAAGGCUGAGAGUGGAUGUUGUUAAUUGCCAGGUGAUCUGUGCUAUCUGAAUGGCCAUGCCAUACCCAAAUCCCCCAGACUAUUAUGUUUACCCCAGAUUCUUCCCUCUCUAGACCUUUAUCUUGAGCUUUUUUUCUCAGUCAAUGGAACCUAUACUUAGGGGAACAGUCACAUGCACUUUGUAGUUUAAUGACCUACACAAUCAUAAGACUACACCAGAUCAUCCUCUGGGCCCUUAAGCUACAGAACCCAUUCUUAUGGAAGAGGUCACAUCUACUUUGCAAAAAGAGUUUUGAUGUCAUCAUGUCUUAAGCUUUAUUGUGCACAUGGGAUUGAGAUAAUUGUUACCAGGAAACUUUUUUUUCCAAAAUUGUACUGUACGUUAAUGCCUAAAAUUUAAACUGCCCGGUGUCAGACUCAUGAAGUUUAAGCCAACACUGGCAACUGAGUUGUGUUGAACAGGAUUUCUUUCUUGCCUCAUGUGGAUCAUUAUUCUGCUGGCUUUGGUGUUUCCAGUGACCCACACAAGUAACAUUGUUGCUUAUUAUUAUUGUCAAGGACUGUGUAGUAUACCCAACUUAUAAGAUCAGAACCACAGCAGAUUUGCACGCAUACCAAACAGGACCACAAACAUAAUACAUGGUUCUCUAUCUGUACCACAAAGACCUCAGUCAAAUGUAGGAAGUUUUCAGUUCCAUUACAGGACCACAAACAUAAUACGUGGUUCUCUAUCUGUACCACAAAGACCUCAGUCAAAUGUAGGAAGUUUUCAGUUCCAUUACCCUCUAAUGGGACUACCGUGGUAUAUGUUGUGGUUGACUGAAAUCUCUCUUCUCUCUCUUUUCCUCCCUCCUUCUUCCUUCCCUCUUUCCUUCCCCCUCUUUCGAUGUGUAGAAGGGUUCCUGCAGAGCUCUGCAGCUGGUUUGAUUUUGGUGUGUUAGCACAUGGCUUUGAUCUGUCUUUUGUGAUUGGUACCUCUUGUGUCUGGUACCUUCUGUUUCAAGUACGUAAAUCUUACCUGAGAGUUUUUUAAAUGUUUAAAGCCUAUGUAAAACUUGGUUAUGGAAGGACACAGCAAACUGAGAUGUCCUAUAACUAGGAAUUGUUUCAGCAUUUGUCUCUUUGGGAGCUUUAAAUAAGAAGUUUUGGUAUGUAGAUAUUAUUUUGCUAAAAAGUGUAAACUGUAUAACAAUGAAAGAGCCCUUGGCAAAACUACAGUCAGUUUGCCAGAGGUUGACUCCCCUGUGGCCACAAAGGCUAAAAUUUAUCUUAGAGUGACCUUGUUUUUUUCAAGGACCUGCAUGAACCCAACACCCAACACUUCUAUGUGUCUAUACUUCAUACAUAUAAAUCUAAAUCACAGUGUUUUGAUAGCUAAUCCAAUUGAGUGAAUGGAAAAAUUUAGACAUAUAAUUACAGGCCGUUCUGUUGGAGGGGGGAUUCUUCAAUGGAGAGCUGUGAGAUCCACCUACAUCUACUUAACUGGCUAAGGCUUCAGUUUUGUUUUUGAGAUGGAGAUAAUUAUUCCACAAUGUUAUUCUGGGUAUGGGGAUUGUGCAAGCAUUUUACAGGACUGUAAGCACUUGGUGUGUAAUGAUUGUUUAGCGACUGAUACUAAUGAUAAAUUUAGACCCUGAACACAGAACAAGAAAAGCCAUGGAAUACACAUUAUAUGCUGUGUUAAUGUAAAUGUGUAGGAGGAGGAAAAAUCCCUUUCUGUAAUUGGAUUGUGCUAAACUGGAGGAUUUACUUAGAUAACAUGUGACUCAUCUAUGUAAAGUAACAGCUCAAUCCAUAAAUAGCUAAGCAGGCUUAUAAACCAAUGCAUUAAACUGAAUUCAUCCUAUUUGCAUAUUUUUAUGUUGGACAUAUAUCAAUGCAUAUACCUGAAAUAUCCACACUUUAAAUAAUCCUAUUUUAAGAGUUAAUCCAAAUACCACACGCAGACUGGACUCAAGUGCACAGAUCAAAUAUGAUUUGUGGGUAUGUCUCUGACAGAUGGCCUUAGCACUCUCUUCGGUGAAGGAAAAUGCUCUCUGCUUUGUGAUAAACACUAUCUCAUUGAUUGAGGUCCUAGAUAGAAGCAGGUAAAGGAAGGAAAGAAACACCAUGAAGAAAUGUCUGUUUCUUCAUCACUUCCUGCAUUAACUAGGAC